Molecule: transfer RNA, 71 nt
Filed under: Marmota monax (woodchuck)
Lineage: Eukaryota; Metazoa; Chordata; Mammalia; Rodentia; Sciuridae
Description: tRNA.Ala
Source: RNAcentral
GGGGUUGUGGCUCAGUGGUAAAGCGCUCACCUAGCAUGUGCGAGAUACUGGGUUAGAUCCUCAGCACCACA